This 142-nucleotide non-coding RNA is filed under the name uncultured Roseburia sp. RNAcentral's name for it is "glmS glucosamine-6-phosphate activated ribozyme". It matches the Rfam family "glmS glucosamine-6-phosphate activated ribozyme aptamer", at positions 10 to 158 of the family's 167-position model. From Rfam's summary of the family: This entry contains a glucosamine-6-phosphate activated ribozyme that is found in the mRNA for GlmS. GlmS is an enzyme that uses fructose-6-phosphate and glutamine to generate glucosamine-6-phosphate. Lineage: Bacteria; Bacillati; Bacillota; Clostridia; Lachnospirales; Lachnospiraceae. The record is from RNAcentral.
GAAAGCGCCGGCCUUUGGCGGGCGCGGUUCAGGUUAACGAGGAGGAGAGUAAUCGAAAUUUCGGCGGAUGCUCUCCCGUACCGCUUCCAGUGCGAGAUAUACCGGCAAAUAUGCGGGUAACUGCAAAACAAAUACGGUAUAA